Oxyura jamaicensis (ruddy duck) is the source of this 243-nucleotide long non-coding RNA. RefSeq lists it as uncharacterized. The transcript has 3 exons. NCBI's taxonomy places the organism in Eukaryota, Metazoa, Chordata, Aves, Anseriformes, Anatidae. The record is from RefSeq and is a predicted model, not a curated record.
AUUGGACAGUUAGUUUAAUUAGGAUUCUCUGGUUGUACAUAGAAUUUUAAUAAGAAAAAUACUACUUAUGACAAUAAACAAAUUCAACAAUGAGAAAAGUGUGGGAGAACAACAUGUACAAGAAUAGAGAUUUAAAUUCAGAGACGAGAUUUGGUUGGACUGGACUUUUGUAAAAUAAGGAAAAAAGUGAUCAUUUGCUCAGAGCCCCACUGCCUUCAAGAGGGUGUAAAAACAAGGAGCAAA